UGGGGAAUUUUGGACAAUGGGCGAAAGCCUGAUCCAGCAAUGCCGCGUGUGUGAAGAAGGCCUUCGGGUUGUAAAGCACUUUUGUCCGGAAAGAAAUCCCUUGGGAUAAUACCUCGGGGGGAUGACGGUACCGGAAGAAUAAGCACCGGCUAACUACGUGCCAGCAGCCGCGGUAAUACGUAGGGUGCAAGCGUUAAUCGGAAUUACUGGGCGUAAAGCGUGCGCAGGCGGUUUUGUAAGACGGAUGUGAAAUCCCCGGGCUUAACCUGGGAACUGCAUUCGUGACUGCAAGGCUAGAGUAUGGCAGAGGGGGGUAGAAUUCCACGUGUAGCAGUGAAAUGCGUAGAGAUGUGGAGGAAUACCGAUGGCGAAGGCAGCCCCCUGGGCCAAUACUGACGCUCAUGCACGAAAGCGUGGGGAGCAAACA
Molecule: ribosomal RNA, 427 nt
Filed under: uncultured Pandoraea sp.
Lineage: Bacteria; Pseudomonadati; Pseudomonadota; Betaproteobacteria; Burkholderiales; Burkholderiaceae
Description: bacterial SSU rRNA
Rfam family: Bacterial small subunit ribosomal RNA
Source: RNAcentral